UACGAAGGGGGCGAGCGUUGUUCGGAAUUACUGGGCGUAAAGGGCGCGCAGGCGGCUCUGAAAGUCAGAUGUGAAAGCCCCGGGCUUAACCUGGAUGAUGCAUUUGAUACUCUGGAGCUUGAGUACGGGAGAGGAGAGUGGAAUUCCCAGUGUAGAGGUGAAAUUCGUAGAUAUUGGGAAGAACACCGGUGGCGAAGGCGGCUCUCUGGACCGUAACUGACGCUGAGGCGCGAAAGCGUGGGGAGCAAACAGG
Molecule: ribosomal RNA, 253 nt
Filed under: uncultured bacterium
Lineage: Bacteria
Description: partial 16S ribosomal RNA
Rfam family: Bacterial small subunit ribosomal RNA
Source: RNAcentral